Molecule: ribosomal RNA, 497 nt
Filed under: uncultured bacterium
Lineage: Bacteria
Description: partial 16S ribosomal RNA
Rfam family: Bacterial small subunit ribosomal RNA
Source: RNAcentral
GAGGAAAGCGGGCGGCGUGCCUAAUACAUGCAAGUCGAGCGAACGGACGAGAAGCUUGCUUCUCUGAUGUUAGCGGCGGACGGGUGAGUAACACGUGGAUAACCUACCUAUAAGACUAGGAUAACUUCGGGAAACCGGAGCUAAUACCGGAUGAUAUUUUGAACCGCAUGGUUCAAAAGUGAAAGACGGUCUUGCUGUCACUUAUAGAUGGAUCCGCGCUGCAUUAGCUAGUUGGUAAGGUAACGGCUUACCAAGGCAACGAUGCAUAGCCGACCUGAGAGGGUGAUCGGCCACACUGGAACUGAGACACGGUCCAGACUCCUACGGGAGGCAGCAGUAGGGAAUCUUCCGCAAUGGGCGAAAGCCUGACGGAGCAACGCCGCGUGAGUGAUGAAGGUCUUCGGAUCGUAAAACUCUGUUAUUAGGGAAGAACAUAUGUGUAAGUAACUGUGCACAUCUUGACGGUACCUAAUCAGAAAGCCACGGCUAACUACGUG